RNAcentral lists this ribosomal RNA (1146 nucleotides) under Bifidobacterium bifidum. RNAcentral describes it as "bacterial SSU rRNA". It matches the Rfam family "Bacterial small subunit ribosomal RNA", at positions 8 to 1162 of the family's 1533-position model. The record is from RNAcentral. Lineage: Bacteria; Bacillati; Actinomycetota; Actinomycetes; Bifidobacteriales; Bifidobacteriaceae.
AGGGUUCGAUUCUGGCUCAGGAUGAACGCUGGCGGCGUGCUUAACACAUGCAAGUCGAACGGGAUCCAUCAAGCUUGCUUGGUGGUGAGAGUGGCGAACGGGUGAGUAAUGCGUGACCGACCUGCCCCAUGCUCCGGAAUAGCUCCUGGAAACGGGUGGUAAUGCCGGAUGUUCCACAUGAUCGCAUGUGAUUGUGGGAAAGAUUCUAUCGGCGUGGGAUGGGGUCGCGUCCUAUCAGCUUGUUGGUGAGGUAACGGCUCACCAAGGCUUCGACGGGUAGCCGGCCUGAGAGGGCGACCGGCCACAUUGGGACUGAGAUACGGCCCAGACUCCUACGGGAGGCAGCAGUGGGGAAUAUUGCACAAUGGGCGCAAGCCUGAUGCAGCGACGCCGCGUGAGGGAUGGAGGCCUUCGGGUUGUAAACCUCUUUUGUUUGGGAGCAAGCCUUCGGGUGAGUGUACCUUUCGAAUAAGCGCCGGCUAACUACGUGCCAGCAGCCGCGGUAAUACGUAGGGCGCAAGCGUUAUCCGGAUUUAUUGGGCGUAAAGGGCUCGUAGGCGGCUCGUCGCGUCCGGUGUGAAAGUCCAUCGCUUAACGGUGGAUCUGCGCCGGGUACGGGCGGGCUGGAGUGCGGUAGGGGAGACUGGAAUUCCCGGUGUAACGGUGGAAUGUGUAGAUAUCGGGAAGAACACCGAUGGCGAAGGCAGGUCUCUGGGCCGUCACUGACGCUGAGGAGCGAAAGCGUGGGGAGCGAACAGGAUUAGAUACCCUGGUAGUCCACGCCGUAAACGGUGGACGCUGGAUGUGGGGCACGUUCCACGUGUUCCGUGUCGGAGCUAACGCGUUAAGCGUCCCGCCUGGGGAGUACGGCCGCAAGGCUAAAACUCAAAGAAAUUGACGGGGGCCCGCACAAGCGGCGGAGCAUGCGGAUUAAUUCGAUGCAACGCGAAGAACCUUACCUGGGCUUGACAUGUUCCCGACGACGCCAGAGAUGGCGUUUCCCUUCGGGGCGGGUUCACAGGUGGUGCAUGGUCGUCGUCAGCUCGUGUCGUGAGAUGUUGGGUUAAGUCCCGCAACGAGCGCAACCCUCGCCCCGUGUUGCCAGCACGUUAUGGUGGGAACUCACGGGGGACCGCCGGGGUUAAC